AAUAGCCUAACGGCUGAACCAGCAACUUGGAGGAAUGUAUAGUGAAAGCUGCUUGCACUAGUUACUGGUGUAAGAUCGACUAUGUUGACUAAAGUUCUAGAUAGAGUUAUGAUAAUGACAUUUUCUAUCUAUGUGUCUUGACCAAAUCACGUGCCAGCAGUCGCGGUAAUACGUGGGAGACUAGUGUUAUUCAUCUUUAAUAGGUUUAAAGGGUACUUAGACUGUUGAUUAAGCCUAAAAAGGUACUAAACAACUAGAGUUUUAUGCAAGAAGGGGAGUACUAAAGAGUGUAGAGAUGAAAUUCUGUCAUACCUGACUUGGAACAGACAACGGCGAAAGCGACCUUUUAUGUAAAAACUGACGUUGAAAGACGAAGGCUUAGGACACCAACAGGAUUAGAUACCCCAGCAGUCUAAGCAGACAAUGAUGAAUGUCAUAGAUUAGAAGUAUAAUUUUUUGUCUAUAAAUGAAAGUGUAAGCAUUCCACCUCAAGAGUAAUGUGGCAACGCAGGAACUGAAAUCAUUAGACCGUUUCUGAAACCAGUAGUGAAGUAUGUUGUUUAAUUUGUCGGUCCGCAAAACACCUUACCACAAUUUGAAUAGUUUUAUUUUAAACAAAAGAUUUUUUUUUAAGAGAAUAGUUUAAAUUAAUAUUACAAGCGUUGCACGGCUGUUUUCAGUUAAUGUCGUGAGACUUUGGUUAGUUCCAUAAAAUUAACGUAAACCCUUACUUUAUUUAUCAAUAUAAAGUAGUUCACCGCUAUAUUGGAUAUGAUAAAAGGGAAUAAGACAAGUCCAUCUGGCCUUAAUAUUGUGGGCUAUAGACGUGCCACAUAAGCCUCUACAAAGGGAUGCAAAAUUGUGAAAUUGAGCUAACCCCAUAAAAUAGGAUAAAACAU
Molecule: ribosomal RNA, 899 nt
Filed under: Trapeliopsis granulosa
Lineage: Eukaryota; Fungi; Ascomycota; Lecanoromycetes; Trapeliales; Trapeliaceae
Description: SSU rRNA
Rfam family: Bacterial small subunit ribosomal RNA
Source: RNAcentral